UGUUGGUCAGGCUGGUCUUGAACUCCUGACCUCAGGUGAUCCGCUUGCCUCGGCCUCCCAAAGUACUGGAAUUACAGGCAUGAGCCACUGUACCCAGCCAGCUGAUCAGACUUUCUAUAGCAGAGUAAGGAAAAAAGAAUGCUGAGAACCAGGCUAAUGCUAAUCUUCUAAGGUUAAAAUUCUAAAGGAGGCUAGGCACAGCGGCUCACGCUUGUAAUACCAGCACUUUGGGAGGCCAAGGCAGGUGGAUCACUUGAGGUUGGGAGUUCGAGACCGGCCUGGCUAACAUGGUGAAACUCCGUUUCUACUAAAAAUACAAAAAAUGAGCCGGGCGUGGUGUUGGGCACCUGUAAUCACAGCAA
Molecule: long non-coding RNA, 362 nt
Filed under: Homo sapiens (human)
Lineage: Eukaryota; Metazoa; Chordata; Mammalia; Primates; Hominidae
Description: HSALNT0067305
Source: RNAcentral